Molecule: ribosomal RNA, 250 nt
Filed under: uncultured bacterium
Lineage: Bacteria
Description: partial 16S ribosomal RNA
Rfam family: Bacterial small subunit ribosomal RNA
Source: RNAcentral
ACGCGAGGAACCUUACCAGCCCUUGACAUGUCCAGGACCGGUCGCAGAGAUGUGACCCUCUCUUCGGAGCCUGGAACACAGGUGCUGCAUGGCUGUCGUCAGCUCGUGUCGUGAGAUGUUGGGUUAAGUCCCGCAACGAGCGCAACCCCCGCCGCUUCUAGUUGCUACCAUUUAGUUGAGCACUCUAAGGAGACUGCCGGUGAUAAGCCGCGAGGAAGGUGGGGAUGACGUCAAGUCCUCAUGGCCCUUA